AUGAGAUGCCCAACAGCACAGGCUGAGAAAGGUUAUGAUAAUCACAAAUUGGAGACUGUCUCUACACCAGCGGUAUGUAAAUAUUGGAUUAAAAAGUAUCGCCGCCAGGUAAAUUAUGCUCCAUUGGCUGUAUCGAGGGGUCAAUUACGAACUUCAAACUGUCCAGAUCAAAACGUACGCAUGCAGUUGUAUCGGGGCAAUGGAAUAAAAGUUCUUUUGUUGAAUGGAUUGACCAUUGCUGCCUAG
RNAcentral lists this long non-coding RNA (246 nucleotides) under Vicia faba (fava bean). Lineage: Eukaryota; Viridiplantae; Streptophyta; Magnoliopsida; Fabales; Fabaceae. The record is from RNAcentral.